Anguilla anguilla (European eel) is the source of this 297-nucleotide long non-coding RNA. RefSeq lists it as uncharacterized. The record is from RefSeq and is a predicted model, not a curated record. NCBI's taxonomy places the organism in Eukaryota, Metazoa, Chordata, Actinopteri, Anguilliformes, Anguillidae. The transcript is spliced from 2 exons.
CUGAGGGGAGUGGUUCGGUUGGACGCAUGGGGCAAGGUCACGUGAUACAGCACGCCACUUGAUGGAAAAAUACAAGACUUUGGAGAAGCCAGACAUCAAGCUCUCUUGCUACAGCGCAGGAAUGGAAGGGAAUAUGACCGAGCACGGUGUAUUAUAAUAUUCUGUUUUUGGUGUGUCUGAUUUACUGUCUUUAAUUGUAUUUACAGACUUAAUUUACCUCUGAAAGCAGGCAUACAGUGCACUUAACGAUAAAGCUAAACUGAAAAUAGAUUGAUUAAAACUGAAAAGUAGACUGCA